RNAcentral lists this ribosomal RNA (34 nucleotides) under Callicosta procera. Its description in RNAcentral is "Pilotrichum procerum partial 26S ribosomal RNA". Lineage: Eukaryota; Viridiplantae; Streptophyta; Bryopsida; Hookeriales; Callicostaceae. The record is from RNAcentral.
AGACCUCUAAUCGGAGAAGACCACCCGCUGAGUU